GGCAGCAACCCGCGGCGCGGCGUGGGGCCGCGUCGCUCUCGCGGCCUUGCCGUGGCCAGCUGCGGCUAGCGGGAGCGAAGUGGACGCCUCCGGGCCGCGCGUUGCGCUGCGCUGCGCUUGCGGGCGGAAGUCGUGACAGGAAAGUUCGUUCCCACGGGGCGUGCGUGGUUGGUACGUCCAUCCGAUCCGGGGGGUGGUGGGGUAGGCGGCACGGCAGACGCGGGCGGGUGCGGUCGUUAAAACUGCCGGGCCGCGGCCACCACGCGCGGUCGCACCUGGCUGGUGCGGCGGCGAAGCUGGACCGGUGAAUUGGUUCCUUCCGAGGAAACAUUCAGCGCCCAUCUGAUUCCGAUCCGCACGCGUUGCCCUGCUUCUCCGGUCUUCAGCUGCACGCCGAGUCGCCGAGUGCUCGCUCUUACAGCCGCUAGCCCGCUACUACGUACUACCAGUACUGGUAAGCGCUAGCUUAUCCGUAAAACUACGUAAAGAACUCGAUCCUAUCGGGAGCCAUCACAUGAUCCCAUGUAUGGACCAGUCUAUAAGCAAUUAAAGCAUAGAGUCUAUUGGUGACUCCGCGGUAUACUACGUCUACGACGUGAUCCUGACAUGUGCCAUCCUAUACUAGUAUUUCUCCCAGUUCCAGUCUCAGCUGCAUCUACCUCGGUCGCGCCCACAAUCCGGUCGGCCGCUCAUCGCGCAAGCUGGGGUUCAUUGUCCACGCCUAGAUUCAUGCGGAACCUACGUACGUACGCUGACUUCGUAACAUCCCCAAUCGAUCCGCCGUUUUCGGCGUUGCAUACCGACUUUAAUUUUUCGAACGAACGGUCACCAGGUUGGUGCCAUUUCUUUGCAUGCUUGUAAAUUAACGUAUGCUUGUAAAUUAAGGCUUGAAUGCAUGAGCAUGACCUGUUUGCAUGAUAAUACAGGCUCGUCAGUCGUCAGCUGCCGUCGGGUGCGGCACGGGAGGAGAGGCGGGGGGAUAGCUUUUUCUUUCUCCGGAUUCUCAUCCCCUUCUUGAUGGUGCACGUUUGCAGUUGGGCCGGGGAAUAUCAGGCCCUAUAGAGCAAAAAAAGUACAACAAAAGUUGGACCUGCAGAGGGAGAUAAGAUUUUAUAAGCAUAAAACAAUGAACUUAGCCAUGCUACUGUACGCAGUUAGCCGCCUAAAAUCCGUAAUGUAUUAGCAUGGAUAAGCCUUUUCUUUAUCAAGUUAUUAUUAGCCCGGAUGAGUUAUUUUAGCUUAUAUUAGUCCCGGAUAAGCUAAUAAAAGUACGUGAUCGCUUCAUCAGUGCUUCAUCCUAGGACUGACUCGUGUGAGGCCC
RNAcentral lists this long non-coding RNA (1321 nucleotides) under Setaria italica (foxtail millet). Its description in RNAcentral is "long non-coding RNA (SITA_LNC005379)". Lineage: Eukaryota; Viridiplantae; Streptophyta; Magnoliopsida; Poales; Poaceae. The record is from RNAcentral.